UCCCCCCUGGCCCCCACCCCUGAGCGUCGGGUGGGGGCCCUAGACAAGAAUUUUUUUAGGGCCCCCACCCGCCGCUCAGGGGUGGGGGCCGGGGGGGG
Non-coding RNA from Pelobates cultripes (western spadefoot toad), 98 nucleotides. NCBI's taxonomy places the organism in Eukaryota, Metazoa, Chordata, Amphibia, Anura, Pelobatidae. The record is from the annotation of a GenBank genome assembly.